This 281-nucleotide long non-coding RNA is filed under the name Elaeis guineensis (African oil palm). RNAcentral describes it as "long non-coding RNA (EGUI_LNC038550)". The record is from RNAcentral. Lineage: Eukaryota; Viridiplantae; Streptophyta; Magnoliopsida; Arecales; Arecaceae.
GUCCCAAUGAGAGAAACUCCCUUCAGUCUGACCUUUGGGAUGGAAGCUGUAAUACCCGUCGAGAUUGUGGUUCCAUCGGUGAGGACCGAGAACUUCGAUGAGCAGACCAACUCAGAGAGAUUGCAUGCAAACCUAGAUUUACUCGAGGAAGAUAGGGAGAGGGUGCGUGUCCGAAUGGCUGCUUAUCAGCAUAAGGUCGUCUGGUACUACAAUAUCAGGGUCCGAAACAAGGUCUUCAGGAUCGAUGAUUUGGUAUUGUGCAAGACAGGAGUAUCACAACC